Molecule: long non-coding RNA, 429 nt
Organism: Talpa occidentalis (Iberian mole)
Lineage: Eukaryota; Metazoa; Chordata; Mammalia; Eulipotyphla; Talpidae
Exons: 3
Source: RefSeq, a predicted model, not a curated record
UUCCGCUGUCCUACCCGAAGCUAGGCUUUUCCUGUGCUCCUCAGCACACCCGGCAGAGGCAGCUGCUAGUUGGGAGGAGCUUGAGGAUGCGGGUGUGACCAGAGAAUGACAGAGGACUCGGGAAUAGAGAUUUACACCCCUGGCGAUAAGCUGUAGCGGGAGCAUGUUUGCUUCCCCUGGUGUUCAGUGGGGAUUUCUCACCGACCCCUGGCAAGAAGUGUUCUGGGACACCCAAUAUUGCUGAACUACCUCAUUUGAAGGAAUAGCACCUGGGAGGGAACACCUGCCACUUCUUCAAAGUCAGCUGAUCAUUUGGAAUGAUGGACGGCGCUGCUGCCGAUGACGUCCCCUUUCAAGUCUCUUUGUCUAAGUGAAUUAUCGUGCAUCCUUUUAAUUUUAUUGAACAAAUUACAUUUGUCAAGGUCUAUC